RNAcentral lists this long non-coding RNA (289 nucleotides) under Capsella rubella. RNAcentral describes it as "long non-coding RNA (CRUB_LNC004961)". Lineage: Eukaryota; Viridiplantae; Streptophyta; Magnoliopsida; Brassicales; Brassicaceae. The record is from RNAcentral.
AUAAACACAACCAUACACGUAUACGAAAAAAAACUCAAUGGCUUGUAUCUCAUGGAAUAAAUACAUCUUUUCUUUUCCUCAUCAUUAAUAUGGAAUAUGUCUUGCAUAGAAUGGAAUAUUUGGAAAAAGAGAUGCUAAACACAACGAUACACGUAUACGAAAAAAAACUAAAUGGCUUGUAUCUCAUGGAAUACAUACAUAUUUUCUUCUCCUCAUCAUUAAUAUGCUUUGUUUGGUCUUUGUUUUGUUCUACAAUAGGCACAUAUGCAUCCCCUAAUCUUAAUACUUG